This is a long non-coding RNA of Corvus hawaiiensis (hawaiian crow), 742 nucleotides long. RefSeq lists it as uncharacterized. The transcript is spliced from 3 exons. Lineage: Eukaryota; Metazoa; Chordata; Aves; Passeriformes; Corvidae. The record is from RefSeq and is a predicted model, not a curated record.
GCUGUCUUCAGAGUUCUGAAGAGCAUCAUGGAGAAGUCAAACCAAAUACAAACUCAAACAUGCAACACUUCCAGAAAAACAACAUCAAAUGCCAAGGUGGAAGAGAAAAACACAAAUGGAACUGCAGGAACUGGAGAACCUGCUGCUCAGAGCAUGUGGAAGUCUACUGACUCUCUUCUGCCACAGGCAACACGAUCACUUAAACAGUUUUGUUGAUCAAAGGUAAAAUGUCUCAUACGGGAUGAAAGAAAGUUACCUGGAAUACAGUUAAAAGGGCUUGUGGAAAAUUAUCGAAGGUGCUCCGUUUUGUUUGAGUUUCAUCAAAAUUAAAUUUGCCUCCAAACAGCUGCAUUCCAAGCAACGAGAAGAUUAUGAUGAAGAGGAAAAGCAGAAGCAACAGUGAAGCAAUGGACUUCAUUGAGUUUAACAAGGAUGCUACCAAGUUGCUCAGGGAUGCCCAGUGCCUAUAAAUUAAAAUGCGUGUAUUAACACACACCAAAAAAAACCCAAACAAAACAGUAAAAGAGCAGUGCAUGAUGAAGUAUUACAAAACAAUUGCUGAUCACUCUUCAGCUAUCCUUAGAAUUAGCAGUAUCAGAUAAUCUUACCUGGUUACUUUAAAAAUACGCAGGAGACGAACACAGCGAAACACUGAAAUUCCAAGGGGUGACAUAAUUUCCAACUCCACCAAAAUGGUUUCAACAAUGCCACCACAAACAACGAAGCAAUCAAAGCGGUUAAA